CCUACGGGGGGCAGCAGUGGGGAAUAUUGCACAAUGGGGGAAAGCCUGAUGCAGCGACGCCGCGUGAGCGAUGAAGGCCUUCGGGUCGUAAAGCUCUGUCCUAAGGGAAGAAUACUGACGGUACCUUAGGAGGAAGCCCCGGCUAACUACGUGCCAGCAGCCGCGGUAAUACGUAGGGGGCGAGCGUUAUCCGGAAUUACUGGGCGUAAAGGGUGCGUAGGCGGCCCUGCAAGUCAGGGGUGAAAGGCCUCGGCUCAACCGAGGUGAGCCGUUGAAACUGUAGGGCUUGAGUGCAGGAGAGGAGAGCGGAAUUCCGAGUGUAGCGGUGAAAUGAGUAGAUAUUAGGAGGAACACCAGCGGCGAAGGCGGCUCUCUGGACUGUAACUGACGCUGAGGCACGAAAGCGUGGGGAGCGAACAGGAUUAGAUACCCGUGUAGUC
RNAcentral lists this ribosomal RNA (440 nucleotides) under uncultured bacterium. Its description in RNAcentral is "bacterial SSU rRNA". It matches the Rfam family "Bacterial small subunit ribosomal RNA", at positions 338 to 795 of the family's 1533-position model. The record is from RNAcentral.